GCGAAACGUCGAUUUUGCGGGGGAAGUCAUUGCAUAAAUGAAGCUGAAUUUCCUCAAUAGAUAUCUGUGUAACGCUGGUCAAAUCAUCCUCAGAUAUCAAGGUGGCCCUUGGAGUUCUUUUGUCGAAGUGGCUUCUGGUCAUUAUUUUGAUUUUGCAAGCUGAUGAAACAACAUCUGACCCCGG
Long non-coding RNA from Dendronephthya gigantea, 184 nucleotides. RefSeq lists it as uncharacterized. Lineage: Eukaryota; Metazoa; Cnidaria; Anthozoa; Malacalcyonacea; Nephtheidae. The transcript has 3 exons. The record is from RefSeq and is a predicted model, not a curated record.